GUUCAGUCUUCCCAGGCCCACCACUUUCAUCGAGUGAGCAUUCGUCUUCUGGUUACGGGGCCAUAGCUCAGCUGGGAGAGCGCGUGCUUUGCAAGCAUGAGGUCGUCGGUUCGAUCCCGUCUGGCUCCACCAGAUGGUUUGAUCACCGAGAUCUUGUACCGUCGUCCGCGAAACAUCACUUCGCAUCCUGCUAGUCUGGAUAGACAGCAAGAUGCGUGUUUUCUGACAUCGUAAAGAGGAGAUCGAUCCGAGUUGGGUCGUGCAGCGGAUUGUUGCGCGAAUCCUUCAUUAUCUCCGGAUCAUUUUCGGCGCUCGCUUUCAGCCGUGAGGUUGAAUGCGAGUUGUAAAAUGAUCCUUUUAGCGAAGCUUGACCGCCUCGCUAUCGGAACGAUCUUACGAAGCAAGCUGGUCUUUCUAGUCAAUGUCCGGCUGUGCGUAGCGUUCAUCGAGGGCGCGUGCCGUAAGGCAAUCGUACAGACAACAUUCUGCCGAGUGUGUGGACAUUGAUAAUGAGAGCAAUCAAGUGCCUUAAGGGUGUUCGGUGGAUGCCUUGGCGCUGAGAGGCGAUGAAGGACGUGCUACGCUGCGAUAAGCCGUGGGGAGCUGCGAAGAAGCUUUGAUCCGCGGAUUUCCGAAUGG
RNAcentral lists this unclassified non-coding RNA (639 nucleotides) under Bradyrhizobium sp. Its description in RNAcentral is "partial 16S-23S ribosomal RNA intergenic spacer". The stretch from base 518 to 639 matches the Rfam family "Bacterial large subunit ribosomal RNA", at positions 1 to 121 of the family's 2925-position model. Lineage: Bacteria; Pseudomonadati; Pseudomonadota; Alphaproteobacteria; Hyphomicrobiales; Nitrobacteraceae. The record is from RNAcentral.